RNAcentral lists this ribosomal RNA (365 nucleotides) under Natronoarchaeum sp. RNAcentral describes it as "bacterial SSU rRNA". It matches the Rfam family "Archaeal small subunit ribosomal RNA", at positions 469 to 833 of the family's 1478-position model. Lineage: Archaea; Methanobacteriati; Methanobacteriota; Halobacteria; Halobacteriales; Natronoarchaeaceae. The record is from RNAcentral.
GGUAAUACCGGCAGCCCAAGUGAUGACCGCUAUUAUUGGGCCUAAAGCGUCCGUAGCUGGCCAGGCAAGUCCGUCGGGAAAUCCGCGCGCUUAACGCGCGGGCGUCCGGUGGAAACUGCGUGGCUUGGGACCGGAAGACCUGAGGGGUACGUCUGGGGUAGGAGUGAAAUCCCGUAAUCCUGGACGGACCACCGGUGGCGAAAGCGCCUCAGGAAGACGGAUCCGACGGUGAGGGACGAAAGCUCGGGUCACGAACCGGAUUAGAUACCCGGGUAGUCCGAGCUGUAAACGAUGUCUGCUAGGUGUGCCACAGGCUACGAGCCUGUGGUGUGCCGUAGGGAAGCCGUGAAGCAGACCGCCUGGAA